RNAcentral lists this transfer RNA (70 nucleotides) under Salmo salar (Atlantic salmon). It matches the Rfam family "tRNA". Rfam says of the family: Transfer RNA (tRNA) molecules are approximately 80 nucleotides in length. Their secondary structure includes four short double-helical elements and three loops (D, anti-codon, and T loops). The record is from Rfam by way of RNAcentral. RNAcentral also lists the same sequence under 1 other name. Lineage: Eukaryota; Metazoa; Chordata; Actinopteri; Salmoniformes; Salmonidae.
CCCCGUGUAGCUCAGUUGGUAGAGCAUGGUGUUUGCAACACCAGGGUUGUGGGUUCGAUUCCCACGGGGG